Long non-coding RNA from Peromyscus maniculatus bairdii (prairie deer mouse), 837 nucleotides. RefSeq lists it as uncharacterized. The record is from RefSeq and is a predicted model, not a curated record. NCBI's taxonomy places the organism in Eukaryota, Metazoa, Chordata, Mammalia, Rodentia, Cricetidae.
GCCUGGGCACCAGGGCCCUGAUUUCAUGCAAGCUGGGAAUCCUCACUUGGCCAUGGGGAACCUGUGUCCACCGGUGCUGGGGACCCAGAAGGGGGACGCCUCCUACCAAACGCAACGGUUCCCAUUUGAGGUUUGGGAGGAGCCAUGACUACAAUCAACAUGCAGAAUGAAUCCAUUAUAGAAUGUGAGCCUCGUGCUGACAAAAGGCAGAACACCCUCUUACCAUCGGAACCUGCUGACUACCGCAGAUCUCUAAAACUUCUUGAACUCAGUUCUGCUUCUGGCUGACUGAAGUGUGACAACCAGGCUGUGGUUUUAUGCAGAAAACACAAAGGACUGUAAGGUUUGGGGGCUGCAUGAUUCAGAGAAGUUCAACACGCAGCUGCCUGCUGGCAACAAAGACUUUCUUUUCAGCUCUUCAAGUGUCCAUGCUGUAGUCUCCGGGGAGCUCACCUUGAAACUCCACCAAGUAUAAUAAACACAAACACUCCGUAACAUGGGUGGCACAAAUGUGCGAUUCCAGCACUUAAUGUUGCUGAGAUCCAUGUAUUGGGAGUUUGAGGCCACCCUGGGCUGUGUAGGAUAUUCCAGUCAACCUGGGCUCUACAGCAAGACCAUGUCUCAAACUACCUGACUAACUCAGAGCUAUUUAUUUUCAUGUGUAUCCCUCUAAAAGCUGUCCUCCAAACUGGACUAUAAACUCAGAGGAAACAGAAGUGGCAUCUUUAUUUCUUCCUAGUUACUGAUAAAGAGGUCGACUAACUCAGAAAAUUUAAGGGAAGCCCUUGGAAAUCUUUCAGAAAGUACAAUGUAGAUCUUCCUUCUCAUAAUAAAUUA